This is a long non-coding RNA of Chanos chanos (milkfish), 2341 nucleotides long. RefSeq lists it as uncharacterized. NCBI's taxonomy places the organism in Eukaryota, Metazoa, Chordata, Actinopteri, Gonorynchiformes, Chanidae. The transcript is spliced from 4 exons. The record is from RefSeq and is a predicted model, not a curated record.
AGCACAGCAACAAGCCCAGCCUACACAGGAAACAGCACAGCAACAAGCCCAGCCUACACAGGAAACAGCACAGCAACAAGCCCAGCCUGCACUGGACACAGCAGAGCAAUGUGGCGUGGAACCUGCACAGCCUGACCUGGUCCUGCAGACCCUUCCCCAUGAUGAAACCACAGGAAACUCAGCCGAAGUGGCCCCGUCCACAUCCUCAGGAAACGACGCUGAGGCCGAAGCCAAGACUCCACCUGUCAGUAAAGCAGUCCCAGCUUUAGAGGAAAGUUUGGGUUUUGAGGUCAUCUCACUCAGUGACAUUGUCCCUCAGAAUAAUAGCUGCUACUAAAGGGCUGAAGGAGAUGAAAAGCUAGUGAAAGAAAGUGCAACAAAGGAAGACAAAAGGAGAGAUGGAGGACAUGGAUCUCUGCUCCUACAGAAUGACUGUAUAAGACAAUGGAUGGAGAAAGCAGAGACAGAGAGGGGAAAAAAAAUCAAAGUUUAAGGAAUGCUGAAAAAAGACAUAGGUAUUGGGUGUCUAUGGUUUCUAUGCACUUUAGCUUGUUGCUAUGGAAAUACUGCCAAAAAUAUAUAAAUAACUUACGUCAGUAUGUGCCUCAUAUCUCCCUGUGUAUAACAGGUAGACUUGCCAAACAUGACAGCAGAAACUUGCCAGCUUGUCAAACGGGACGGUAAAAGUGGUCGUGUCUUAGGUACACGUUCUGUCCUAAUUUCCCUUCUUCCACAAGCUUAGGGCAGGAAUGUGACGUUUCAUGGCUGGAUCCUCUCUCAGCCUGUCUGUUCUCACAUCAAUCUCAAAUGGAGAAACUGAACUAGACCUUAAGUAUGAGUUCAGCUUGGUUUGGAAUUAUGUAAGAAAGAGGACAAUUUUGUCUGGUAAGAGCCUGGUGUUAUUAUUGUUGUUGUUGUUGUUUUUAAUGAUGUAUUUCAUCUAUGUAAUGUGCCUGUACUCACAUGUAACUCUUUACACAACUGUACAUGGCACAUCCUUCUCUGGCCCCCUUGGCCAUCUCUGACAUAGCACUGCAUGAUGGUGCCCAAGAAGAAAAAAAAACACGAAAAAGCAAAACAGAAAAAAAUAAAGCAUUGUAAUUUUGCUGGAUUUUUAAUGUAAACCAAUACUGUUAUAAAACUGUUCAUUGUUUUUGUUUUAGCCUGUAUCGAGCACCCUUCACUUUUCUCUGUAACAGAGAAGAAAUUUGCCCUUGAUGUGUAUAUGAAGGAGAAUACAUAACUACAGUGCAGUAGAGGAUCUAUAAUAGGUUUAUCCUCAGCAUGGUAGCAUAGCUAAGUUUACCUUGAUUGAACUGUUCGUGUAAGGUCUUCACGGAGGGCUGUGUAUUAGGGUACACACACAGACUGGUAUGUUUCGAUUCCCUAUACCCUGCAUGCUGGAUUUUUGAAGUGGCUCAUGGUUGAGAGCUGAGUAAUGUGCCUUGCCUGACAGUCUGUCCUUCUCAGCUCCACUAGAGUGUGCUGAUCUUACUGUUCUUCCCAGAUACCGUCACAGUCUCCCCCAAGGGUUAGGUGCUCUGAGAGCUUUUCACAGUUCUCUUGUUUUCUUGAAGGAAAUUCUUAAUCUCGCCUAAAUUUCUGAAGUAUUAAUAUGAAAGGGUUCCCGCUACAUGACUGUGAAUUAUUGGAGUUGAGAAGCUAUAAGCAAAAUGUGAAACAUUUGAAAUGUAUUGAAAGAGGGCUGAGUGUUUCUGAAGCCACAGAUCUCUGAGACUAACCUCAGGACAAUUCACAUCAUCGCUGCAAAACAGUUAGGUGCACCAAGUGUGUAAAUAGUCCUAUUUAUUUUUCUCUGUUUCAUAAUUUAUUUUCUUAUAUCUUGUGCCCAAAAUGUAUUAUGAUGUACCUUUUUAUGAUAGUGUUGGAAAAGAGAAUGGUGAUUAUAAAUUGCUUGAUUUUUCUGUCUUUGUUUGAUUGACAAGCGAUUGGAUGGCUAUGCAGUGAUGUUUGAUUCUUUGUAUGGUGAAGUCACCAGCAUAUUUACCUUCCUUUCGGUAAAAUGGGCUGAUUUACAUUUUUAAAUGAGAUGUGUGAGAUCUCCUCCUGUAUUGUUGUCUCAGACACUGAGGUAUGUUUGAUGCCUGCUCAGAACCUUUUGUUUUGUCUGAAUGUUCAAAAAAACUUUUCACAACCCAAGAAAAUGAUUCUAGACAUGUAUUUAACAGUGCAGUUCCAAUUCUGCUCCUACUCAGUUUUACCGAAAUACCAUUGUCUCAUUAUACACUGCCUUUCGUGGUAUUGACCAUGUGACUGACGCUUCACUGAGAGAGUUUAUUGGAUGACAUUUAAAAUAAGUGGUAAAAUAUUUUUAAAGGAU